This 341-nucleotide ribosomal RNA is filed under the name uncultured Pseudomonadota bacterium. RNAcentral's name for it is "bacterial SSU rRNA". It matches the Rfam family "Bacterial small subunit ribosomal RNA", at positions 29 to 351 of the family's 1533-position model. Lineage: Bacteria; Pseudomonadati; Pseudomonadota. The record is from RNAcentral.
AACAAACGCUGGCGGCGUGCCUAACACAUGCAAGUCGUACGAGAAAUCCCGGGCAACUGGGAGAGUAAAGUGGCGCACGGGUGAGUAACGCGUGGGUAACCUGCCCUUGAAUUGGGGAUAACUCCGCGAAAGCGGGGUUAAUACCGAAUGAUAUUUCGACUUCUUCGGAGGUUGGAAUCAAAGGUGGCCUCUGCAUGCAAGCUACUGUUCAAGGAUGGGCCCGCGUACCAUUAGCUUGUUGGUAGGGUAACGGCCUACCAAGGCAUCGAUGGUUAGCUGGUCUGAGAGGAUGGCCAGCCACACUGGAACUGAGACACGGUCCAGACUCCUACGGGAGGCAG